CCUACGGGAGGCAGCAGUGGGGAAUAUUGGACAAUGGGGGGAACCCUGAACCAGCGACGCCGCGUGAGUGAAGAAGUAUUUCGGUAUGUAAAGCUCUAUCAGCAAGGAAGUAAAAAAUGACGGUACCUGACUAAGAAGCCCCGGCUAACUACGUGCUAGCAGCAGCGGUAAUACGGAGGGGGCAGGCGUUAUCCGGAUUUACUGGGUGUAAAGGGAGCGUAGACGGCGAUGCAAGUCUGAAGUGAAAGGCGGGGGCCCAACCCCCGGACUGCUUUUGAAACUGUAUGUCUGGAGUGCAGGGGAGGUAAGUGGAAUUCGUGGUGUAGCGGUGAAAUGCUUAGAUAUUAGGAGGAACACCAGUGGCGAAGGCGGCUUACUGGACUGUAACUGACGUUGAGGCUCGAAAGCGUGGGGAGCAAACAGGAUUAGAUACCCUUGUAGUC
RNAcentral lists this ribosomal RNA (443 nucleotides) under uncultured bacterium. Its description in RNAcentral is "partial 16S ribosomal RNA". It matches the Rfam family "Bacterial small subunit ribosomal RNA", at positions 338 to 795 of the family's 1533-position model. The record is from RNAcentral.